Molecule: ribosomal RNA, 537 nt
Filed under: Bifidobacterium pseudocatenulatum
Lineage: Bacteria; Bacillati; Actinomycetota; Actinomycetes; Bifidobacteriales; Bifidobacteriaceae
Description: bacterial SSU rRNA
Rfam family: Bacterial small subunit ribosomal RNA
Source: RNAcentral
GGGUGGUAAUGCCGGAUGCUCCGACUCCUCGCAUGGGGUGUCGGGAAAGAUUUCAUCGGUAUGGGAUGGGGUCGCGUCCUAUCAGGUAGUCGGCGGGGUAACGGCCCACCGAGCCUACGACGGGUAGCCGGCCUGAGAGGGCGACCGGCCACAUUGGGACUGAGAUACGGCCCAGACUCCUACGGGAGGCAGCAGUGGGGAAUAUUGCACAAUGGGCGCAAGCCUGAUGCAGCGACGCCGCGUGCGGGAUGACGGCCUUCGGGUUGUAAACCGCUUUUGAUCGGGAGCAAGCCUUCGGGUGAGUGUACCUUUCGAAUAAGCACCGGCUAACUACGUGCCAGCAGCCGCGGUAAUACGUAGGGUGCAAGCGUUAUCCGGAAUUAUUGGGCGUAAAGGGCUCGUAGGCGGUUCGUCGCGUCCGGUGUGAAAGUCCAUCGCUUAACGGUGGAUCUGCGCCGGGUACGGGCGGGCUGGAGUGCGGUAGGGGAGACUGGAAUUCCCGGUGUAACGGUGGAAUGUGUAGAUAUCGGAAAGAAC